RNAcentral lists this ribosomal RNA (293 nucleotides) under uncultured bacterium. RNAcentral's name for it is "partial 16S ribosomal RNA". It matches the Rfam family "Bacterial small subunit ribosomal RNA", at positions 505 to 796 of the family's 1533-position model. The record is from RNAcentral.
GUGCCAGCAGCCGCGGUAAUACGAAGGGGGCUAGCGUUGCUCGGAAUCACUGGGCGUAAAGCGCACGUAGGCGGGUUGCCAAGUCGGGGGUGAAAUCCUGGAGCUCAACUCCAGAACUGCCUUCGAUACUGGCGAUCUUGGAGUCCGGGAGAGGUGAGUGGAACUGCGAGUGUAGAGGUGAAAUUCGUAGAUAUUCGCAAGAACACCAGUGGCGAAGGCGGCUCACUGGCCCGGUACUGACGCUGAGGUGCGAAAGCGUGGGGAGCAAACAGGAUUAGAAACCCGAGUAGUCC